UUGACCUCGGAUCAGGUAGGGAUACCCGCUGAACUUAAGCAUAUCAAUAAGCGGAGGAAAAGAAACCAACAGGGAUUGCCUUAGUAACGGCGAGUGAAGCGGCAAUAGCUCAAAUUUGAAAGCUGGCGUCUUCGACGUCCGCGUUGUAAUUUGUAGAGGAUGCUUCGGCGAGGACUCCUGCCUAAGUCCCCUGGAACGGGGCGUCACAGAGGGUGAGAAUCCCGUAUGUGGCGGGCGGUCCAAGCCAUGUGAAGCUCCUUCGACGAGUCGAGUUGUUUGGGAAUGCAGCUCUAAAUGGGAGGUAAAUUUCUUCUAAAGCUAAAUAUUGGCCAGAGACCGAUAGCGCACAAGUAGAGUGAUCGAAAGAUGAAAAGCACUUUGGAAAGAGAGUUAAAAAGUACGUGAAAUUGUUGAAAGGGAAGCGCUUGCAACCAGACUCGCUCGCAGUUGCUCAGCCGGCCUCUUGGCCGGUGUACUCUUCUGCGAUCGGGCCAGCAUCAGUUCGGGCGGCUGGAUAAAGGUGUCGGGAAUGUAGCACCCUUCGGGGUGUGUUAUAGCCCGGCGCGGAAUGCGGCCAGCCUGGACUGAGGAUCUCGCUUCGGCAAGGAUGCUGGCGUAAUGGUUGUAAGCGGCCCGUCUUGAAACACGGACCAAGGAGUCUAACAUCUAUGCGAGUGUUUGGGUGUCAAACCCAUGCGCGUAAUGAAAGUGAACGGAGGUGGGAACCCUUCACGGGGUGCACCAUCGACCGAUCCUGAUGUCUUCGGAUGGAUUUGAGUAAGAGCAUAGCUGUUGGGACCCGAAAGAUGGUGAACUAUGCCUGAAUAGGGUGAAGCCAGAGGAAACUCUGGUGGAGGCUCGCAGCGGUUCUGACGUGCAAAUCGAUCGUCAAAUUUGGGUAUAGGGGCGAAAGACUAAUCGAACCAUCUAGUAGCUGGUUCCUGCCG
This 947-nucleotide ribosomal RNA is filed under the name Phyllosticta sp. CPC 11336. Its description in RNAcentral is "eukaryotic LSU rRNA". It matches the Rfam family "Eukaryotic large subunit ribosomal RNA", at positions 1 to 963 of the family's 3401-position model. The record is from RNAcentral. Lineage: Eukaryota; Fungi; Ascomycota; Dothideomycetes; Botryosphaeriales; Phyllostictaceae.